Molecule: long non-coding RNA, 1015 nt
Filed under: Pan troglodytes (chimpanzee)
Lineage: Eukaryota; Metazoa; Chordata; Mammalia; Primates; Hominidae
Description: long non-coding RNA NONPTRT006723
Source: RNAcentral
GACCCACUGGACGGCCAGAUGGGGAUCAAAGAAUCCCGAGUUAGGAUCUGGAUGAAGGAUAAGCCCCUGAAUUGUCGAUGGGCUCACCCCCACACUGACCCAGCAUCUGAACUUGCUUAACAGGGAGCCGGGGCUAAACUGCUUCACCCUGCCUGAGAACCAGGGAGCACUGCAUUUCUCCACAGGGUGGAGGAGAAGAGGCAGAGUAAACCAAGCCUGGGACACCUCCCUCCUGUCUAGGUGUACUCAUUCUUCUGUUUCAAAAGAAGGCAAGGACAUGAAGUCAACUUCUACCUAUCUUCUGCUGCUGGUGUCUUAUGUAUUCUCAGUUUGACCUGAUUCCUCUUCUGUCUUUUGACUUAACAUUAGGGGUUCUGGGUCAUAACCUGCUCUGAUGUACAUAAAGAUUUCAGGUUCAAUAUCAAUGUGUCUUAAAACAGAAGUAUUUUAGCGGGUGGGGGGUGGGGUGGUGGGGACAAACAACGCAGGAUAUAAUUGCCAAAACCAGGCUUGAGGUUGGUGACUCUUGAAAGAUUUUCUUUCUUCAGGCCUAGAUCAGAAAAUUAAGUGCAGCAAUAUCAUGAAUUCUCAGAAGCCCUUUCAGGGAGCCAGUGAGUCAUACAGUAUCCACAGUUGAGUCACUUAAAGAUGUCAGUAUACGAAACAUUAUUCACAAUCCUUGGGCAAUCUCAUUUUUUUUCCUUCUCCCCUCCUCCCCUGCCCCCCAUACAUUUCUAUCCUUGAGUUAGUUUUGGAGGGGCAGGAAGUACUUAACAUCUCAGAAGCUAGAUGGGGAAACAUGCUCAGCUAUAAGAACUGAGCUUUAAAUUUUGAGUUUAAAAAUGUACAUCAGGAGCAGCUGGGGAGGGUCUUUUUUUAAAAAAAUCUUUCAAAUUUGGUUUUCUGUGCAUAUGGCCGUUUUGUAAAUACUUUGGGGUUUUUCAUUUUUUUGAAAGUAGAUGAAAUCUGUUGUGGGAUUUUUUUCCCGAAACAUUACAAAAUAACCUGUUUAUUU